This is a non-coding RNA of Phrynosoma platyrhinos (Desert horned lizard), 69 nucleotides long. NCBI's taxonomy places the organism in Eukaryota, Metazoa, Chordata, Lepidosauria, Squamata, Phrynosomatidae. The record is from the annotation of a GenBank genome assembly.
AGCAUGGCAUAUUGGUUUGAGUGUUGGACUAGGACUCUGAAGACCAGGGUUCAAAUUCCAGUUCAGCUG